AAGACAGAGGGUGCAAACGUUGUUCGGAAUCACUGGGCGUAAAGCGCGUGUAGGCGGCAACGCAAGUCGGGUGUGAAAGCCCACGGCUCAACCGUGGAAGAGCACUCGAAACUGCGAGGCUAGAGUCCCGGAGAGGAAGGUGGAAUACUUGGUGUAGAGGUGAAAUUCGUAGAUAUCAAGUGGAACACCGGUGGCGGAGGCGACCUUCUGGACAGUGACUGACGCUGAGACGCGAAAGCGUGGGGAGCAAACAG
This 254-nucleotide ribosomal RNA is filed under the name uncultured prokaryote. Its description in RNAcentral is "partial 16S ribosomal RNA". It matches the Rfam family "Bacterial small subunit ribosomal RNA", at positions 522 to 775 of the family's 1533-position model. The record is from RNAcentral.